GGGGGCGUACCGGUUUCGACGGGGAUGCCGGGGUAUGAUAAGCGGGUCGUGGCGCCAUUACACGUUAAAAGGGCAACCUUUAUAAAUUAAGUAACGAAAAUAAUUUCGCUUACGCUGCCUAAUUAGGCGGCCGUUCGACCCGGGAGUACCACGGCCCGGGCUCGGGCGUCGAUUAGUGGUGAACGUGCCUAUCGCGUCCUCGGACGCGUCGCAAAGCUUUGAGCAUAGGCAUGAAUUAUGAAGCUACCGAAUCUUUCAGUCCGCCGGCAGACGGUUAGAUAAGGGAAUUUAAAUUGUCGGCUGCACCCGGAGAAAAUCAUACGGAAGUAUUUUCGGACAGGGGUUCAACUCCCCUCGCCUCCACCA
Molecule: transfer-messenger RNA, 366 nt
Filed under: Oscillospiraceae bacterium
Lineage: Bacteria; Bacillati; Bacillota; Clostridia; Eubacteriales; Oscillospiraceae
Rfam family: transfer-messenger RNA
About the family: Bacterial tmRNA, also known as 10Sa RNA or SsrA, is named for its dual tRNA and mRNA-like properties. Its role is to liberate the mRNA from a stalled ribosome.
Source: RNAcentral